AAUCAACGCUGGCGGCGUGCCUCAGACAUGCAAGUCGAACGCGAAAGUCCCCUUCGGGGGACAAGUAGAGUGGCGCACGGGUGAGUAACACGUAGGUAAUCUACCUUUGGAUGGGGAAUAACAACCGGAAACGGUUGCUAAUACCGCAUAAUGCAGCGGCACCUAAUGGUGACAGUUGUUAAAGCGGGGGAUCGAAAGACCUCGCGUCUAAAGAGGAGCCUGCGGCGGAUUAGCUAGUUGGAAGGUAAUGGCUUACCAAGGCUACGAUCCGUAACCGGCCUGAGAGGGCGGUCGGGUCACACUGACACUGACAUACGGGUCAGACUCCUACGGGAGGCAGCAGUCGGGAAUUUUGGGCAAUGGGCGAAAGCCUGACCCAGCAACGCCGCGUGAAGGAUGAAAUCCCUCGGGAU
This 413-nucleotide ribosomal RNA is filed under the name uncultured bacterium. Its description in RNAcentral is "bacterial SSU rRNA". It matches the Rfam family "Bacterial small subunit ribosomal RNA", at positions 32 to 424 of the family's 1533-position model. The record is from RNAcentral.